This 151-nucleotide non-coding RNA is filed under the name Acidovorax delafieldii. RNAcentral describes it as "ZTP sequence". It matches the Rfam family "ZMP/ZTP riboswitch aptamer (pfl RNA motif)". Rfam says of the family: Previously known as pfl RNA. ZMP is also known as AICAR. The record is from RNAcentral. RNAcentral also lists the same sequence under 1 other name. Lineage: Bacteria; Pseudomonadati; Pseudomonadota; Betaproteobacteria; Burkholderiales; Comamonadaceae.
ACGAUGGUACGCAACUGGCGAUAGGCGCGGCCCCCCGAGGUGCCGCCGCUGACGUGGAAACCGGCAAGGGACUGCCUCUUGCAAACCACUGGGGAGCGUGCCGCAAGAGCCCAAGGCCUUCUGCGUUCCGCCGUUCGCCUGGGCAGCCCUU